UACAGAGACCUCAAGCGUUAUCCGGAUUUAUUGGGCGUAAAGCGUCCGCAGGUGGUUUGGCGGGUCAGAGGUUAAAAUUUAUAGCUUAACUAUAAAACUGCUUUUGAAACUACCAAACUCGAGGUUGGGAGAGGUAAGCGGAAUUCUCGGUGUAGUCGUAAUAAGCGCUGAUAUCGAGAAGAACACCAAAUGCGAAGGCAGCUUACUGGAACACACCUGACACUCAGGGACGAAAGCGUGGGGAGCAAACAGG
This 253-nucleotide ribosomal RNA is filed under the name uncultured bacterium. RNAcentral describes it as "partial 16S ribosomal RNA". It matches the Rfam family "Bacterial small subunit ribosomal RNA", at positions 524 to 776 of the family's 1533-position model. The record is from RNAcentral.